UUUUGUGGAGAGUUUGAUCCUGGCUCAGGACGAACGCUGGCGGCGUGCUUAACACAUGCAAGUCGAACGAUGAAGCUCCAGCUUGCUGGGGUGGAUGAGUGGCGAACGGGUGAGUAAUGCGUGAGUGACCUGCCCCCUUCUUCGGGAUAAGCCUUGGAAACGGGGUCUAAUACCGGAUAUUCCCAUCACGGGGCAUCUUGUGGUGGGGAAAGUUU
This 215-nucleotide ribosomal RNA is filed under the name Ancrocorticia populi. RNAcentral's name for it is "Actinomycetaceae bacterium sk1b4 partial 16S ribosomal RNA". It matches the Rfam family "Bacterial small subunit ribosomal RNA", at positions 1 to 209 of the family's 1533-position model. The record is from RNAcentral. Lineage: Bacteria; Bacillati; Actinomycetota; Actinomycetes; Actinomycetales; Actinomycetaceae.